RNAcentral lists this ribosomal RNA (1377 nucleotides) under uncultured bacterium. RNAcentral's name for it is "16S ribosomal RNA". It matches the Rfam family "Bacterial small subunit ribosomal RNA". The record is from RNAcentral.
AGAGUUUGAUCCUGGCUCAGGACGAACGCUGGCGGCGCGCCUAACACAUGCAAGUCGAACGGAGUUAUAGCAAUAUAACUUAGUGGCGAACGGGUGAGUAACACGUAGACAACCAACCCCGCAGAUUGGGGCAACAGCUUGAAAGAGCUGCUAAUACCGAAUGCGCUUCUCUCUUCGCAUGAAGGGAGAAGGAAAGGCCGUAAGGUCGCUGUGGGACGGGUCUGCGGCUGAUUAGCCGGUUGGUGAGGUAACGGCUCACCAAAGCAACGAUCAGUAGCCGGUCUGAGAGGAUGAACGGCCACAUUGGAACUGAGAAACGGUCCAGACUCCUACGGGAGGCAGCAGUGGGGGAUUUUCCGCAAUGGGCGCAAGCCUGACGGAGCGACGCCGCGUGAGUGAAGAAGGCCUUCGGGCCGUAAAGCUCUGUUGAUGGGGACUAUAAUGAAGGUACCUGUCGAGGAAGCCACGACCAACUACGUGCCAGCAGUCGCGGUAAUACGUAGGUGGCGAGCGUUGUCCGGAAUGAUUGGGCGUAAAGGGAGCGUAGGCGGGUAAAUAAGUCUUACUUAAAAGGUCGCGGCUCAGCUGCGGCAGGGGUAGGAAACUAUUAACCUUGAGUGCAGGAGAGGCAAGCGGAAUUCCCAGUGUAGCGGUGAAAUGCGUAGAUAUUGGGAAGAACACCGGUGGCGAAGGCGGCUUGCUGGACUGCGCCUGACGCUGAGGCUCGAAGGCCGGGGGAGCGAACGGGAUUAGAUACCCCGGUAGUCCCGGCGGUAAACGAUGGAUGCUAGGUGUGGGGGGUAUCGACCCCUCCCGUGCCGGAGCGAACGCAAUAAGCAUCCCGCCUGGGGAGUACGAUCGCAAGAUUGAAACUCAAAGGAAUUGACGGGGGCCCGCACAAGCGGUGGAGUAUGUGGUUCAAUUCGACGCAACGCGAAGAACCUUACCAGGGCUUGACAUCGAGCGGCGGCGCCGGAAACGGAGCCUCCGCCCUUCGGGGCGGCGCGAAGACAGGUGGUGCAUGGCUGACGUCAGCUUGUGCCGUGAGGUGUUGGGUUAAGUCCCGCAACGAGCGCAACCCCUGCGGUCUCUUGCCAGCGGGCAAAGCCGGGAACUCAGAUCGGACUGCCGCGGAGAACGCGGAGGAAGGCGGGGAUGACGUCAAGUCAUCAUGCCCCAUACGCCCUGGGCGACACACGUACUACAAUGGGACGGCACAGAGGGAAGCGAAGGCGCGAGCCGGAGCGGAGCCCUGAAACCGUCUCCCAGUUCGGACCGCGGGCUGCAACCCGCCCGCGCGAAGUUGGAAUCGCUAGUAAUCGCAGGUCAGCAUACUGCGGUGAAUACGUUCCCGGGCCUUGCACACACCGCCCGUCA